This 1103-nucleotide unclassified non-coding RNA is filed under the name Hevea brasiliensis (rubber tree). Lineage: Eukaryota; Viridiplantae; Streptophyta; Magnoliopsida; Malpighiales; Euphorbiaceae. The record is from RNAcentral.
AAGGAAUCCAAUUCUAGGUUAGGCAUGGAAUGUAAUCCAUUAAAACAACCAACAUUGCUAUUCACUUACAAAUAUAUAAUUUAAUCAAUUGUCUAAUGCCAGUUUUACUUUUGAGCAGGUAACAAGAUAUCCAUAAAGAGGCAUGAAAGUUAAAUAAUAUGUACAAUGUGCAGCAAACAAAAUAUGAUGUCAUCAACAAAAGAUUGCCUCACAUGGAAAAAAUGCUAUUGCAGAUCUUAUAUAACAAAAUAUAGAUUAUUAAACUAUACAGGCAAAAUUGAUGAAAAUGUCAGCCAAAACAAUCAGAGGAACAAGUAAUAAUUGCUGCAUCGUGAAUUUUCAAGACUUUCACCUUCAAAUCAAAGGAUUGCCCCAUCAAAGACUCAGAACCUUAAAAUUUUUAUCAACCAUAUGAAACAAUCAGCAAUUUGCCUGAACAGAAUUAUAUUGUUUGUGAAUGGACAUGCUUAAAAAAAAAAUCUUCCUUUUUAUAUACAAUUUUAUAAGGAUGUAUAAAAUAUCAUUCACAAAUGAGAUAAUACAUUCUGAUAAUUCUAGAAUUUGCAUAGAGUCAUUGACUUAUCAUCAAUCUGUUGUCCUACUCAACUAACAAGUUGAGUAGCAGUGAGUGACGUUCCAUGAACUUAUGGCAUCCCAAACUAACACAAUUAAAAAGCACAAACAACAUAUAAUACAAUGAAGCUUGAGAUGACCAUGUUCAGGUUACUCCCUAUUCCACAGGCUGAAAAGUUUUUGGCCAAAAAAAAAAAAGAUAUGAUCCCUCUGCAUUACAAUGAGAUAAUUUUACAUGCCUAGAAUACGAUUCUAUUUCACUCUAACAACUCUAGGAAAGAUUUCUAUUUGGCCCAUCAUUGAAGUAGGAUUCUCCAAUUUACAUUAAGAACAGGUGGAUAAUGCCUUCUUGAUUUAGUUAAAUUUUAACUCACAGUUAGUUAAAAACCUGAAUAGCUUUGACAUCUAACCAAGCACAUUACCUACAUUGUGUUGCAACUAAUCCCAAUUGACCACAAACUAAGCAUUCCACUGAAGAAAAGCUAAUAAUAAACAAUAAUUAGCCAACUCCUCGUGUAUAAAGAUAAAUU